AAGAUGAAUCAAAGAAGGUAAUAAUCCUGUAGUCGAAAAUGUUGUCUCUCUUGAGUGGAUCCUGAGUACGACGGAGCACGUGAAAUUCCGUCGGAAUCUGGGAGGACCAUCUCCUAAGGCUAAAUACUCUCUAGUGACCGAUAGUGAACCAGUACCGUGAGGGAAAGGUGAAAAGCACCCCGGAAGGGGAGUGAAAUAGAACCUGAAACCGUGUGCUUACAAGUAGUCAGAGCCCGUUAAUGGGUGAUGGCGUGCCUUUUGUAGAAUGAACCGGCGAGUUACGAUUUGAUGCAAGGUUAAGCAGUAAAUGUGGAGCCGUAGCGAAAGCGAGUCUGAAUAGGGCGUUUAGUAUUUGGUCGUA
RNAcentral lists this ribosomal RNA (361 nucleotides) under Staphylococcus aureus. RNAcentral describes it as "partial 23S ribosomal RNA". It matches the Rfam family "Bacterial large subunit ribosomal RNA", at positions 347 to 711 of the family's 2925-position model. The record is from RNAcentral. Lineage: Bacteria; Bacillati; Bacillota; Bacilli; Caryophanales; Staphylococcaceae.